RNAcentral lists this ribosomal RNA (474 nucleotides) under uncultured bacterium. Its description in RNAcentral is "bacterial SSU rRNA". It matches the Rfam family "Bacterial small subunit ribosomal RNA", at positions 33 to 507 of the family's 1533-position model. The record is from RNAcentral.
ACGCUGGCGGCGUGCCUAACACAUGCAAGUCAACUUGACUGAAGGAGCAAUCUGACAGUAGAGUGGCGCAAGGGUGCGUAACGCGUAAGUAACUUGCCCAAGGUAAGGAAUAACGUCGAGAAAUCGGCGCUAAUACCUCAUAAUGCAGCGGAUCCGCAUGGAUAUGUUGUUAAAGGUUUACCGCCUUGGGAUAGGCUUGCGUCUGAUUAGCUAGUUGGUGUGGUAACGGCACACCAAGGCUACGAUCAGUAACUGGUCUGAGAGGAUGAUCAGUCACACUGGAACUGAGACACGGUCCAGACUCCUACGGGAGGCAGCAGUGAGGAAUAUUGGGCAAUGCUCGAAAGAGUGACCCAGCAACGCCGCGUGGAGGAUGAGGGUAUUCUAUAUCGUAAACUCCUGUGAGAGCAGACGAAAGACAGAUUAUUAAUCUGGAUGACUGUAUGCUCAGAGGAAGCCCCGGCUAACUACGUG